CUACGGGACGCUGCAGUGAGGAAUAUUGCACAAUGGGGGGAACCCUGAUGCAGCAACGCCGCGUGGAGGAUGACGCAUUUCGGUGUGUAAACUCCUUUUAUAUGUCAAGAAAAUGACGGUAGCAUAUGAAUAAGCACCGGCUAACUCCGUGCCAGCAGCCGCGGUAAUAGCGGAGGGUGCAAGCGUUACUCGGAAUCACUGGGCGUAAAGGACGCGUAGGCGGGUUGGAAAGUCAGGUGUGAAAUCCUACAGCUGAACUGUAGAACUGCACUUGAAACUUCUAAUCUAGAGUAUGGGAGGGGGAGAUGGAAUUAGUGGUGUAGGGGUAAAAUCCGUAGAUAUCACUAGGAAUACCUAAAGCGAAGGCGAUCUCCUGGAACAUUACUGACGCUAAGGCGUGAAAGCGUGGGGAGCAAACAGGAUUAGAUACCCCAGUAGUC
Molecule: ribosomal RNA, 440 nt
Filed under: uncultured bacterium
Lineage: Bacteria
Description: partial 16S ribosomal RNA
Rfam family: Bacterial small subunit ribosomal RNA
Source: RNAcentral